GAUGAACGCUGGCGGCGUGCUUAACACAUGCAAGUCGAGCGGGCAAUUUAUCUAGCACUGAUUACUUCAAAUGGAAAUCAUAAGUGUAAUCAUGAAUUUCUACCUUUAAUAAAGAAAAAAGAAAUUCAUGUACGCAAAUAGUGAUAACACAUUUUAGUGAAGUGAUGAGUGCUGGAUAAAUUGCUAGCGGCGGACGGGUGCGUAACACGUGGGUAACCUGCCCCUAUCACUGGGAUAACACACUGAAAAGUGUGCUAAUACCAGAUAACAUAAGCUUUUGGCAUCAUUAGCUUAUCAAAGAAUUUCGGAUAGGGAUGGGCCCGCGUCUGAUUAGCUAGUUGGUGAGGUAACGGCUCACCAAGGCAACGAUCAGUAGCCGACCUGAGAGGGUGGAUCGGCCACACUGGAACUGAGACACGGUCCAGACUCCUACGGGA
Molecule: ribosomal RNA, 437 nt
Filed under: uncultured bacterium
Lineage: Bacteria
Description: bacterial SSU rRNA
Rfam family: Bacterial small subunit ribosomal RNA
Source: RNAcentral